UUCAGCUUAUUUGAUUUCUUAUUUACGCUUUUAUCUUUUUUCCGUAGGGUGUAAAGGAGCCGCUAGGACAGGUCACUCUUGUUUAAUGAAAUUAAAUUCGCCAAAACAGACACUAGCGCUAGAUCAUGUCUCCACUGACGAGGGCAAAAGCUCCAGAUAUUUAUGGCGAAGUCAGAAAAAGACGAGGAAAAAUAGACGAAAAACGAGUAGCCUUAUUUUCAAGUUCUAAAUCGCUGACACAUUCUAAUGAUUCCAUCACAAAGUUCUCAUUACUUGUCUUUAAAAAAAAAACAACAACAACAAAAUCAUCCAAAUGCGAGUUUUUCCGAAUAAUUGGUCAAGCUACGAUUCCAAUAAAUCCAUCUAAUUGACAGUGGAAAUUUUCGCAAAAUCACUCAAUCAGCAUCGAAGUCAAUGUAGUACGGUAAUUAAAUUUUUAGGCACGGCAAUUUUUCGCGCGUUUAUCGUAAGUAUGACCUUGAGUAAACAACGUAAACAACGUAAGCAAUGACGAAGGCUGCGGAAAUCCCCUGUCUCCGGUGAUAUUUUCAUACUUUAAACCCCGGAAGACAUCGAAAACAGCGCGAAAAUCAAUAAAACUGUGUCAAAUAGACACCGAUCGAGGUACAGCAGGAGCGAAAGCCACCUCCCCUAUAUUUUUACGCGCGCGAAUUCAGAGCUUUCCGCCGCGAAUAAAGUUUUUUUAUUUAUAAAACAACUUCCUACAACUAUAUUUUAAAUUCGAACACUCUCCGAACAACAGAUUGUGCGCGGCCACAACAUCGAACAUAUGAUGCGAGAGCGGUGAUAAAUCAUUUUUCCCGAAAAAAUUGUGUGCCAAAACGCAGUUCGCGCGACGUUGCCAGUUCUGCGGCCGGAGCCGCCGUCGAUCGGGGAAACCUGAUGUUUUCCCCUGGAAACUAGGCAGCCGUGUCGACGACUCCGCAAUGCAAAGCCCGCUUGCUUUGAAGCCGAACCGAGUGUGGAUUUAUGGCCCGUCUGUCAGCGGCAGGGUUGACAAAUUGUGUGAGAUUUUCAGGAUUUUUCCGUGAUAAUCGAUAGGAAACGGGUUGUUUUAUGUUGAAAUCCGGCAGCCUCCGGCGCGUCGGGGAUUUAUUCAAGUCCGCAGACAGCACCCACUUACCGCGGCUGGAUAUUCCGAUUCAGGUGAAACGAAACUAUUUCAGGUCCCGGGCUAUAAAGUCCGCGGGGUCGUAUUCGUAGACAUUCCUUAGGUAGCUCCUUUCAUCAGGAGGGGUUGACGAAGUUACAUUGUAACUAAGGGAGGUUCAAGUUGCCCUUUUAAUAUAAACUCAUAAAGUGAAUACUUCAAAACUGAGAAUUACUAUGUGAACGGCGGUGUGUUUCUCCGUUAAAGUCAGGCUCUUCGACAAAUUAUGAUUAAUUUUUAACAAGUUGGUAGUAGCACUCAAUUAAUUUGUUAGGUGGGUAUGUACCCAAAGUGCUAAGAACGUCCAAGAAUUAACUUACAUAAAACUUCUUUAUUCGAUAAUAAUUUUUGGUCGAAGCUUUUCGGCAUGAUUGCCAUUGCCAGGACCUUUAAAUGCUGAAAAAUAAAUGUAAAUGCAUUUUUCCAUUAACAAUUACAACUUUGGUAGCCACUUUGUGACUAGGAUGGAAUAUAAAUGUAGAUAAGAUGUUUCCAUUUUUAGCACCUUGGCUACGGACCCACCUGACAGACAAAUUAUUGUUUCCAUUUUCUUUGCCAUUGGAGUCACACACUGGAUGUUGAACAGAUAAUUCAGAAGUGAAUAAAUGUAUUUCAUACAUAUUCAGCAGAAAUAAUGAGCUUUCUGUUAUUCGUUUCCAAUUACUUCUGACAGUUACUAC
Molecule: long non-coding RNA, 1851 nt
Filed under: Bemisia tabaci
Lineage: Eukaryota; Metazoa; Arthropoda; Insecta; Hemiptera; Aleyrodidae
Description: lncRNA ENSASIAIIG001351
Source: RNAcentral